This 2670-nucleotide long non-coding RNA is filed under the name Salmo salar (Atlantic salmon). RNAcentral's name for it is "lncRNA (ENSSSAG00000110261.1, ENSSSAG00000120138.1)". Lineage: Eukaryota; Metazoa; Chordata; Actinopteri; Salmoniformes; Salmonidae. The record is from RNAcentral.
GUAAAUAGUUAAAGUACAAAAGGUAAAAUAAAUAAACAUAUAUUUGGGUUGUAUUUACAAUGGUGUUUGUUCUUCACUGGUUGCCCUUUUCUUGUGGCAACAGGUCACACAUCUUGCUGCUGUGAUGGCACACUGGUAUUUCACCCAGUAGAUAUGGGAGUUUAUCAAAAUUGGAUUUGUUUUCAAAUUCUUUGUGGGUCUGUGUAAUCUGAGGGAAAUAUGUGUCUCUAAUAUGGUCAUACAUUUGGCAGGAGGUUAGGAAGUGCAGGUCAGUUUUCACCUAAUUUUGUGGGCAGUGUGCACAUAGCCUGUCUUCUCUUGAGAGCCAGGUCCGCCUACAGCAGCAAGGCUAUGUCCACUGAGUCUGUACAAGGUCAAAGCGUUCCUUAAUUUAAGUUUGGGUCAGUCCCAGUGGUCAGGUAUUCUGCCACUGUGUACUCUCUGCAUGCCUGCACACACAGCCAGAGAAGCAGGUUCUGACAUUGAGAAUUCUAGUUUUCUCUGUUUUUUGUUAAUUCUUUCCAAUGUGUCAAGUAAUUAUCUUUUUGUUUUCUCAUGAUUUGGUUGAGUCUAAUUGUGUUGCUGUCCUGGGGCUCUGUGGGGUCUGUUUGUGUUUGUGAACAGAGCCCCAGAACCAGCUUGCUUAGGGGACUCUUCUCCAGGUUCAUCCCUCUGUAGGUGAUGGCUUUGUUAUAGAAGGCUUGGGAAUCACUUCCUUAUAGGUGGAUGUAGAAUUUAACGGCUCUUUUCUGGAUUUUGAUAAUUAGCGGGUAUCGGCCUAAUUCUGCUCUGCAUGCAUUAUUUGGUGUUUUACGUUGUACACUGAGGAUAUUUUUGCAGAGUCUCAAUUUGGUGUUUGUCCCAUUUUGUGAAUUUAUGGUUGGUGAGCGGAACCACAAGACCUCACAACCAUUAAGGGCAAUGGAUUCUAUAACUGAUUCAUUGUAUUUUUAGUCAGAUCCUAAUUGGUAUGUCUAAUUUUAUAUUACUUUUGAUGGCAUAGAAUUCCCUUCUUGCCUUGUCUCUCAGAUCGUUCACAGCUUUGUGGAAGUUACCUGUGGCGCUGAUGUUUAGGCCGAGGUAGGUAUAGUUUUUUGUGUGCUCUAGGGCAACGGUGUCUAGAUUGUAUUUGUGGUCCUGGCGACUGGACUUUUUUUGGAACAGCAUUAUUUUUGUCUUACUGAGAUUUACUGUCAGGGCCCAGGUCUGGCAGAAUCUGUGCAGAAGAUCUAGGUGCUGCUGUAGAACCUCCUUUGUUGGGGACAGAUCUAGGUGCUGCUGUAGGCCCUCCUUGGUUGGGGACAGAUCUAGGUGCUGCUGUAGGCCCUCCUUGGUUGGGGACAGAUCUAGGUGCUGCUGUAGGCCCUCCUUGGUUGGGGACAGAUCUAGGUGCUGCUGUAGGCCCUCCUUGGUUGGGGACAGAUCUAGGUGCUGCUGUAGGCCCUCCUUGGUUGGGGACAGAUCUAGGUGCUGCUGUAGGCCCUCCUUGGUUGGGGACAGAUCUAGGUGCUGCUCUAGGCCCUCCUUGGUUGGGGACAGAAGCACCAGAUCAUCAGCACAUAGUACACAUUUGACUUCAGAUUCUCUCUAUCACAUGGGGGAUUAUGGCAAGAACAGCUCAAAUAAGCAAGAAAUGACAGGCUAUCGUUACUUUAAGACAUACAGGUCAGUCAAUGUGGAAAUUUCAAGAACUUUGAAAGUUCCUUCAAGUGCAGUUGCAAAAACCAUCAAGCGCUAUGAUGAAAUUGGCUCUCAUGAGGACCGCCACAGGAAAGGAAGACCCAGAGUUACCUCUGCUGCAGAGGAUAAGUUUAUUAGAGUUACCAGCCUCAGAAGUUGCAACCCAAAUAAAUGCUUCACAGAGCAAGUAACAGACACAUCUCAACAUCAACUGUUCAGAGGAGACUGCAUGAAUCAGGCCUUCAUGGUUGAAUUGUUGCAAAGAAACCACUACUAAAGGACACCAAUAAGAAGAAGAGACUUGCUUGGGCCAAGAAACACGAGCAAUGGACAUUAGACCGGUGGAAAUCUGUCCUUUGGUCUGAUGAGCCCAAAUCGGAGAUUUUUGGUUCCAAACGCAGUGUCUUUGUGAAACGCAGAGUAGGUGAACGAAUGAUCUCAGGGUGUGGUUCCCACCAUUAAGCAUGUAGGAGGAGGUGUGAUGGUGCUUUGCUGGUGACACUGUCAGUGAUUUAUUUAGAAUUCAAGACACACGUAACCAGCAUGGCUACAACAGCAUUCUGCAGCGAUAUGCCAUCCCAUCUGGCCAUCCCAUCUCCAGGCUGUAUAAGGGCUAUUUGACCAAGGAGAGUGAUGCAUCAGAUGACCUGGCCUCCAAAACCACUGACCUCAACCCAAUUGAGAUGGUUUGGGAUGUGUUGGACCGUAGAGUGAAGGAAAAGCAGCCAACAAGUGCUCAGCAUAUGUGGGAACUCCUGCAAGACUGUUAGAAAAUCAUUCCUCAUGAAGCUGGUUGAGAAAAUUCCAAGAGUGUGCAAAGCUGUCAUCAAGGCAAAGGGUGGCUACUUUGAAGAAUCUCAAAUAUAAAAUAUAUUUUGAUUUGUUUAACACUUUUUUGGUUAGUACAUGAUUCCAUGUGUUAUUUCAUAGUUUUGAUGUCUUCACUAUUGCUCUGUGUAGAAAAUAGUAAAAAUAAAGAAAACCCCUUUA